GUGAGGUGUCGGGUUAAGGUCCCAUAACGAGCGCAACCCCUACUGCUAGUUGCCAGCGGGUCAUGCCGGGGACUCUAGCGGAACUGCCAGCGUAAGCUGCGAGGAAGGUGGGGAUGACGUCAAAUCAGCACGGCCCUUACGUCCAGGGCUACACACGUGUUACAAUGGCCAGUACAGAGGGCAGCCACCCCGCGAGGGGGCGCUAAUCCUAAAAGCUGGUCCCAGUUCGGAUCGGAGUCUGCAACCCGACUCCGUGAAGCUGGAUUCGCUAGUAAUCGCGCAUCAGCCACGGCGCGGUGAAUACGUUCCCGGGCCUU
RNAcentral lists this ribosomal RNA (317 nucleotides) under uncultured Rikenellaceae bacterium. RNAcentral describes it as "bacterial SSU rRNA". It matches the Rfam family "Bacterial small subunit ribosomal RNA", at positions 1067 to 1382 of the family's 1533-position model. The record is from RNAcentral. Lineage: Bacteria; Pseudomonadati; Bacteroidota; Bacteroidia; Bacteroidales; Rikenellaceae.